UACGGAGGAUGCAAGCGUUAUCCGGAAUUAUUGGGCGUAAAGCGUCCGCAGGUGGCCCUUCAAGUCUGUCGUCAAAGACCGGGGCUUAACCCUGGAAAGGCGAUGGAAACUGAAAGGCUAGAGAGAGGUAGGGGUAGAGGGAAUUCCCAGUGUAGCGGUGAAAUGCGUAGAGAUUGGGAAGAACAUCGGUGGCGAAAGCGCUCUGCUGGACUGCAACUGACACUCAGGGACGAAAGCUAGGGGAGCGAAUGGG
RNAcentral lists this ribosomal RNA (253 nucleotides) under uncultured bacterium. Its description in RNAcentral is "partial 16S ribosomal RNA". It matches the Rfam family "Bacterial small subunit ribosomal RNA", at positions 524 to 776 of the family's 1533-position model. The record is from RNAcentral.